Molecule: ribosomal RNA, 739 nt
Filed under: uncultured cyanobacterium
Lineage: Bacteria; Bacillati; Cyanobacteriota
Description: bacterial SSU rRNA
Rfam family: Bacterial small subunit ribosomal RNA
Source: RNAcentral
AAGUCGUACGAAGAUAAAAUUGUGCUUGCACGAUUUUUUACUUAGUGGCGGACGGGUGAGUAACACGUAAGAAUCUACCUUUUGGCGAGGGACAACCACUGGAAACGGUGGCUAAUACCUCAUAUAACUGAGAAGUGAAAGAUGAAAAUCACCAAGAGAUGAGCUUGCGUCUGAUUAGCUAGUUGGUAAGGUAAAGGCUUACCAAGGCGACGACCAGUAGCAGGUCUGAGAGGAUGAUCAGCCACACUGGGACUGAGACACGGCCCAGACUCCUACGGGAGGCAGCAGUGAGGAAUUUUCCGCAAUGGGCGAAAGCCUGACGGAGCAAUACCGCGUGAAGGAUUAAGGCCUAUGGGUUGUAAACUUCUUUUCUCAGAGAAGAAUUUUGACGGUAUCUGAGGAAUAAGCAUCGGCUAACUCUGUGCCAGCAGCCGCGGUAAGACAGAGGAUGCAAGCGUUAUCCGGAUUAAUUGGGCGUAAAGCGUCUGUAGGUGGUUUAUCAAGUUUUUUGUCAAAGAUCGGGGCUUAACUCCGGGCAGGCAGAGAAAACUAGUAGACUUGAGUUCGGUAGGGGCAGAGGGAAUUCCCGGUGGAGCGGUGAAAUGCGUAGAGAUCGGGAGGAACACCAAAGGCGAAGGCACUCUGCUGGGCCGCAACUGACACUGAGAGACGAAAGCGAGGGUAGCAAAUGGGAUUAGAUACCCCAGUAGUCCUCGCCGUAAACGAUGGAUACUAGGUG